Long non-coding RNA from Symphalangus syndactylus (siamang), 369 nucleotides. RefSeq lists it as uncharacterized. The record is from RefSeq and is a predicted model, not a curated record. NCBI's taxonomy places the organism in Eukaryota, Metazoa, Chordata, Mammalia, Primates, Hylobatidae.
GCAUUCAUUUAUCUACAGUGAGGGGCUAGAACCUGUCGGUCUUUUGGCUUGAACUCCGCUUCAUUUGUUCUCCUCCAUGAUUUGGUAGAAAAGGAGGAAGUAUAAAGCCUGCCUUUGUUUUUGUCAUACUUGGUGAGUCCAAGGGUUUCUAGAAAGUCUGUCCUACAUCUGCAGAGGCAUAUAGUUGGAGCCUGUAUGAGAAGAGGCCUGAAGGAAGAAUAGAUCCCCAUAUCUACUUCUGGAAACAGACCAACAUGUUGCUUUACCACCAAAUUAGAAGUUGUAAUCUCCUCACUUGUCUCCUUACCUCCAGCCUAACCCGAUUUAGGACUGUCUUCUAUUAUGGCCAUGCUUAUCCUGAAAGUUCCC